UGGUUGGAGACAGGUGUUCUGGAGUCAGAGCAGAUCCCUACCAGCUGCAACUCAUCCAUAAAUCAAGACCUCUACAUAUACCCAUUCCUGCCACUUCCACUCUGCCAGAUUUUACCUCUCUGGCUUCUGUCUCCUGUUCCACAUCUCACCACCAACCACCUUGCUCUGGAUAUCACUCACCACCAUUACCUUGGAUUCCCCUCAGGACCUGUUCCCCUGUUCUACUCAGCCAACUCCAACCUCACUCUACACCCCUGGUUUUUGCAACUCAUCUGAGCUACCCCGGUUCUGCACUCCCCAUUUCUCUGUUCAAUAAACAUUUUUGUGCAUUCAUCCCGGCUUCCUAUUCUGAGUCCGCUCUUGGGUUCCCCCCUUCGCUCAUCGUAACACAAGCUAGACAAGCAGUCAUCAUCAUGAAUCACGUAGACUAAUCUACUAGCAAAUCCGUUCCAGUCCUUGUCAUAUAAAGAGAAAUUAUAGACAAAACGUAUCGGUGCUCAUCGGCCAUUGGACAUUACACAACAAGUCGGAAAUGUAAAAUUCAACAAUGAGUGGUUCAGAAGUAAUCAGUGUCUAACUGCAAGCGUUGCAAAGCAAUCACUAUGUUGCUUCCCCUGCCUGCUAUUCGGUUAAGAGGGCCUCUUUCUAGAGCUUCAACCUGAAGAUCACUGGUUCAACAUUGUUUUCCCGGUAGUCUUGAAAGGACCAUAAAUCCAGAGAAUGACAGACUUUGAUGACAGAGUUUGCCCACAAGAAGGACAGUAGCGCCACAUUACUGUUCAAGUGAACAUAGCACAACAACAGUCUAUGGCUUGGGUGGCUGGAGUUUUUAACAAUAUUCUGGGCCCCCCUUUCACACCAUCUGAUAUAGAGGACCUGAAUGGCAGGGAGCUCGGUCCCAGUGAUGUGAUCGAGGGCAGUGCUGUUGCCAUACCAAGCAGUGAGGAGGCCAGUCAAGAUGGUCUCAAUGGUGCAGCUGUAGAACCUUUUGAGGAUUUGAGGGCCCAUGCCAAAACCUUUCAACCUCCUGAGGGGGAAGAGUCGCCGUUGUGCCUUAACAACUGUGUGCCUGUGUGUGGACCAUUUUAAGUCCUUAGUGAUUUGGACACUGAGGAACUUGAAACUCUCAACCUGCUCCAGUGCAGUCCCAUUAAUAUGGAUGGGGGCGUGCUUAUCCCCCCUUUCCUGUAAGCCCACGAUCAGCUCAUUGGUCUUGUUGAGGGAGAUGUUGUCCCGCCAUCACACCUCCUACUUGUCUCAUCGUCCGAUGUGAUCAAGCCAACCACCAUCGUGUCGUCAGCAAUCUUGAUGGUGUUGAAGUUGAAUGUGGCCACGCAGUCGUGGGUGAAUAGGAGGGGACUAAGCACACACCACUUUCGGGCCUCCAUGUUGAGGGUCAGUGUGGCAGAGGUGAUGUUGCCUACCCUACCACCUGGGGUCAGCCCCUCAGGAAGUCCAGUUUCCAGUUGCAGAGGAAGUUGUUCUGUCCCAUGGUCCUGAGCUUGGAGGGGACAAUAGUGUUGAACGCUGAGCUGUAGUCAAUGAAUGACAUUUUCAAGCAAUGCUUAUUACAAGGUUAUUACUUAUUUAUGAACUACACUAUCCUAUAUUAACUAAUGAUGAACAGUCUAUAUCUACUUAUAAACCAUUUCCAAG
Long non-coding RNA from Oncorhynchus tshawytscha (Chinook salmon), 1656 nucleotides. Lineage: Eukaryota; Metazoa; Chordata; Actinopteri; Salmoniformes; Salmonidae. The record is from Ensembl.